This 140-nucleotide ribosomal RNA is filed under the name uncultured bacterium. RNAcentral's name for it is "partial 16S ribosomal RNA". It matches the Rfam family "Bacterial small subunit ribosomal RNA", at positions 355 to 509 of the family's 1533-position model. The record is from RNAcentral.
UGGGGAAUAUUGGGCAAUGGGCGAAAGCCUGACCCAGCAACGCCGCGUGAAGGAAGAAGGUCUUCGGAUUGUAAACUUCUUUUAUGAGGGACGAAGGACGUGACGGUACCUCAUGAAUAAGCCACGGCUAACUACGUGCC